CGAAAGCCUGACGGAGCAAGACCGCGUGAGGGAGGAAGGCUCUUGGGUUGUAAACCUCUUUUCUCAGGGAAGAAGAUCUGACGGUACCUGAGGAAUCAGCCUCGGCUAACUCCGUGCCAGCAGCCGCGGUAAUACGGAGGAGGCAAGCGUUAUCCGGAAUUAUUGGGCGUAAAGCGUCCGCAGGUGGCAGUUCAAGUCUGCUGUCAAAGACAGUGGCUCAACUACUGAAAGACAGCAAAUACUGAGCAGCUAGAGUGCGGUAGGGGCAGAGGGAAUUCCCGGUGUAGCGGUGAAAUGCGUAGAUUUCGGGAAGAACAUCGGUGGCGAAAGCGCUCUGCUGGACCGCAACUGACACUCAGGGACGAAAGCUAGGGGAGCG
This 379-nucleotide ribosomal RNA is filed under the name uncultured cyanobacterium. RNAcentral's name for it is "bacterial SSU rRNA". It matches the Rfam family "Bacterial small subunit ribosomal RNA", at positions 376 to 770 of the family's 1533-position model. Lineage: Bacteria; Bacillati; Cyanobacteriota. The record is from RNAcentral.